This is a long non-coding RNA of Passer domesticus (house sparrow), 1140 nucleotides long. RefSeq lists it as uncharacterized. The record is from RefSeq and is a predicted model, not a curated record. Lineage: Eukaryota; Metazoa; Chordata; Aves; Passeriformes; Passeridae. The transcript has 2 exons.
AAUGCCACCCCUGCUCUUCCUGGGGACUAGGAUUCCCAAGAAGCAUCCUCUCCAUCAGACCCCACCAAGCUGCUUCCACAUCCUGGGGUCAGCUCUGCUCCAAAGCUCCACUUUGAGGAGGCUUUGUGCUUUGUGAAUUAACAGUGACAAACUACAAGAUUUCACUCCUGAGAUGUUUGGGAUAGGCUGGUAAAUUGGACAUUGGACUGGCAACAUGACUGCAAAGGUGAUGGAAAGAAGAAGUUAUACUCAAGAAGAGCUCCUGGUAUCACCAAGGAGGAAUCUUUUCUACAUCUUAGAUUUAGGGAGAACUCAACUUUAGGAAACUGCUGCAGUUGUACACUGCAGAGAAAUCACUUUAUAGCCCAAAUAGCUAGCAGGAAAGAAACAUCAAAGGUACAAAAGACAAUCAGAUGUCAGAUCCCUGUUGACUUGCCAUGAAGACCAUGGCCUUUGCUGUCAAUUCAAACUUUGAAAAAUUCCCUCAGAAGGAGGACUACUACAGACACCUCUGGGAAAGCUAUUGUCUUUAGUAACUAUAAAGUACAGGCAGAAAUCUUAAAUUGUCUUAUCUGAGAGAUACUGAAUUUUAAAACUACAACUUCUUAAAAAGAAUUGGAAAAAAAAAAAAAACAACACAACCAAAUCAGGAGCAUUUCUCAGGGGAUGAAAUUCCCAAUUAUAGUGUCAAAGAAGGGAAUAUGUUCCAAUUUUUGUUCACAAUCUGAGCUGUAACAACAAGAACCAGAGGAACACAGAAAGGCUGGGAGACAGACUCCAAGUAACCGAGCUACCUGCCAAGGAAAUUCAAGUUCCUUGUGCAACUCAUCCAAAGCACUGCAAGCAGCCACAGAGGCAAGCUGGAAGAGCCUGUUCCCAAGCACCAUUGAAAUGAGCAUUUUCUAUGAUAAUAUGCUCACAUAAAUGAGCAUAUUCUAUGUUAUUCAUUUGCAUUUGACCAGUCCUGUGUAGCUCAGUGAGGAAUGUGUUCAUGCACCCCAGCAGUCAAGCUGGGGUGUUCAGUGUUUCCCUGCACUUCAUGAUGUAACACUUCAAAAAAAAAUCAGCCUCAGCACCAUUAGGACAUGAUUUGUUAAAGGCUCAUGGAUGUCUUUAUAUUGAUAUCAGUGUGUUUUAACA